GACGAACGCUGGCGGCGUGCUUAACACAUGCAAGUCGAACGGAAAGGCCCUGCUUUUGUGGGGUGCUCGAGUGGCGAACGGGUGAGUAACACGUGAGUAACCUGCCCUUGACUUUGGGAUAACUUCAGGAAACUGGGGCUAAUACCGGAUAGGAGCUCCUGCUGCAUGGUGGGGGUUGGAAAGUUUCGGCGGUUGGGGAUGGACUCGCGGCUUAUCAGCUCGUUGGUGGGGUAGUGGCUUACCAAGGCUUUGACGGGUAGCCGGCCUGAGAGGGUGACCGGCCACAUUGGGACUGAGAUACGGCCCAGACUCCUACGGGAGGCAGCGGUGGGGAAUAUUGCACAAUGGGCGGAAGCCUGAUGCAGCAACGCCGCGUGCGGGAUGACGGCCUUCGGGUUGUAAACCGCUUUCGCCUGUGACGAAGCGUGAGUGACGGUAAUGGGUAAAGAAGCACCGGCUAACUACGUG
This 468-nucleotide ribosomal RNA is filed under the name uncultured bacterium. RNAcentral describes it as "partial 16S ribosomal RNA". It matches the Rfam family "Bacterial small subunit ribosomal RNA", at positions 28 to 507 of the family's 1533-position model. The record is from RNAcentral.